GAAUUGCGAUAAGUAAUGUGAAUUGCAGAAUUACGUGAAUCAUCGAAUCUUUGAACGCAUAUUGCACUCUCUGGUAAUCCGGAGAGUAUGCCUGUUUGAGGGUCAG
Molecule: ribosomal RNA, 106 nt
Filed under: Entrophospora lutea
Lineage: Eukaryota; Fungi; Glomeromycota; Glomeromycetes; Entrophosporales; Entrophosporaceae
Description: Claroideoglomus luteum partial 5.8S ribosomal RNA
Rfam family: 5.8S ribosomal RNA
About the family: 5.8S ribosomal RNA (5.8S rRNA) is a component of the large subunit of the eukaryotic ribosome. It is transcribed by RNA polymerase I as part of the 45S precursor that also contains 18S and 28S rRNA. Functionally, it is thought that 5.8S rRNA may be involved in ribosome translocation.
Source: RNAcentral